Macrobrachium nipponense is the source of this 419-nucleotide long non-coding RNA. RefSeq lists it as uncharacterized. NCBI's taxonomy places the organism in Eukaryota, Metazoa, Arthropoda, Malacostraca, Decapoda, Palaemonidae. The transcript has 3 exons. The record is from RefSeq and is a predicted model, not a curated record.
GUGAUCGUCCUUGGAAAACGAUGUCUGCCUUCGUCAGAAGCGGUCUGGAAAACCCGGACUGCUAGACGGCCUGUAACAGUGUGGUGUCCAUAUUUGUCUCUACUCGGGUGAUAACAUCGAUGAAGAUUCAAACCAUUGAAUUGGUCAUCUGUUUGGACGAUGGAAUAUUGACGGAGGAGUCUGCUGCUUCAGUUUUCAAGAGCAUAGGUUGAUGUGAGACUGAUGUGACCUCAUUCGUAAGAAGUCGAAUAUUCUCGCCUGGAAGUCUUUCGUGGAUCGGAAGAAACAAAUAUAUGGAAUCUGGGACCCCGAAAUUGAGCAGCUGCGAUGGUUCUGGGCUUCUAAUGCUACCUUGGAUUUCCCUUAGGUUUCUUAACUGUCUUGGAUGAGGUUAACAAUGAACUAUGCUUUUAAAACUA